RNAcentral lists this unclassified non-coding RNA (185 nucleotides) under Glomeraceae sp. RNAcentral's name for it is "partial contains 5.8S ribosomal RNA and internal transcribed spacer 2". The stretch from base 1 to 71 matches the Rfam family "5.8S ribosomal RNA", at positions 84 to 154 of the family's 154-position model. Lineage: Eukaryota; Fungi; Glomeromycota; Glomeromycetes; Glomerales; Glomeraceae. The record is from RNAcentral.
GUGAAUCAUCGAAUUUUUGAACGCAAAUUGCGCUUCCUGGCAUCCCGGGAAGUAUGCCUGUUUGAGGGUCAGUAUUAACAAAAAAUCGGUUUGGUUGCAAGUUGUGACGUUUCUUGAGUUUGGGUUAUCUUAACUUUUUUGGUUAAGGGGCUUAAAAUUGACCUUUUUUGCGCAUUCUUAUACUU